GGCCUGAUGGUCUAGUAGUAUGAUUCCUUGUUAGGGCACUUAGUGGACUACUCGAGGAGGUCCCGGGUUCAAUUCCCGGUCAGGCCC
Non-coding RNA from Mucidula mucida, 87 nucleotides. NCBI's taxonomy places the organism in Eukaryota, Fungi, Basidiomycota, Agaricomycetes, Agaricales, Physalacriaceae. The record is from the annotation of a GenBank genome assembly.